AAAAAAAAAGAAGAGAGCAUUCCUGAGGAAAAGAGUAGAACUUCCUUAUUCUUCAGCUCAGUAACUCGAGAACCUGUUAUUUGCUGGUCAUAAAUAAGUCACUUGCCAAAGAGACAUCAAAUAACAACAAAUGUCCUGGGAUCCUAGAGAGGCUCUGUGCUGGGAGCAAGAGCAGAUUAUUUCAGAGACCCUGGGGGUGACUUGACAUUUCUAAAAGAGAAAAUAGAAACAGCAAGGAUUGAUGGAUGAUAAAUUGCAUUAUCCAUUUCCAAUUCACUGAAUUCUACUUAAAGAAUGGCCAUAUUUCUUCCUCUAUUGGUUAGUCUCAACACCAGGAAGGAAACAUAGUUGAAUGACUAACUGAGGGUGGCAGCAGAUCAUUGCCAAAUUACUCUACACGGAACUGUAAAAUCAACUUGUCUAGAGUUAUAAGCAAGCCUGCAAUAGCUCCAAUAACAGGUUCCCUCCCCUUGGGAGUACCAAGCCCUUGUCAGCGGGCCUCAGCCUCUCACUUAUAAAAUGAAGAGGACAGUGUGAGGCAGAAUAUCAUUUUUAAAAACCGCUUUUUUAUGAUUGGGGAAAUAAUCUCCCAAAUUCAUCGUGUAAAGAAUUGGAGAGAGAUAACAAAUGGCUCUUGGUGUUAAAGGACUUCCCUGUAACAAAUACCUUCACAACAAAAGUCUCAACAGCCCCGGUCAAGAAGGUGCUAGUCAUCACAAAGAUGUGCAGAAAGGCUUGCCAUGUCCCAGUAAUGAAAUAGCUUAGGUUGGUGUCUUAUAAAUAAGAGAAAUUCAGUCCCCACAGGGUGGAAGCUGGGAAGCCCAAGAUUAAGGUACCAUCAAAUUCUCUGUCUUCUGAGGGCUUUUUAGACCAUGAAGAAAACAUAGAUGUGUGCUCAUUUGUUAAGGAAGGCAAGACAGCUGUUUUAGCAUACACACACACACACACACACACACACACACACAAAUACAACCUGAUAACUCCAUAUAAUAUUACUUGUAUGUCUGUUUUCAAGGCUGACCAUUUAGUAUUUGAUACCCAAGUGCUGUGUUCUUCUCUAACACUCAGUGUUUCCUAGCUGACUGCAGUUCCUUGUAUAGAGUGGAGGCCUCCUGAGCUUCCCUAGUCCGUUUCUGCAUGACUGCUAUUGUCCUUGUUCAGCUUGUGUUCAGGCAGCCAUGUUGGUGAAACUUUAUUUGUAUAGCUUCUGACAUUACUAGGAAGUACAGUCUUACAGCAAACUCUGUGAUACUCUGCCUUUUAUGAUCUUUCUACUCCCUCUUCAAGAAUGAUCCCCCAGCCUUAGAUGCAGAGGUUGUACAUGUAUCCAUUGGGGUUAAGCACCAUAACUCAGCAUUUUCAUUUUUUUCAUGAUUUGUUUUUAUGUGAUAGUCUCCAUUGGUUACAAAGAAACAUUUUCUUGAUGAGAGGUGAAGACAACAUUUGUCUGUGGCCUAAAGGACAAAUAGUUAGAAUAUAGUUAGAGCUAAUGCUUGUUUAAUAAGGUGACAAUUUUAUGUUCUUCUUCAAUAUCCAUGACUUCACUAGCCCUGGGUAGUCAAGGUUUUCAGCAGGAGGUAUGAUUUCCCUCUUGGUCUUAAGUCCAAUUAAAGAGCUGUUAGUUAUCACCAAGGUAUAUACACCACUAAUGCACCCUUCAGGUUAUUGUACCAUGCUGUUUAUUGGUGUAGUUCAUAAGCAGCAUAUGAGUGUUUGUUGCUUCCAUCUUUUGGAGGCUUGCAUGGUUCCUUCUGCUAUCAUAAAACCUAGUCCUCAAAGAGGAAGCAUUGAAGUCAGUUCUAGCUCAGGACCUUCAUGUGUCUGCAGUUCAUGGUAUCUUCAGCAAUAGGAAAUUACCUUCCAUUUCUAGUAGGAGAGGGCAACCCAGAGCACUAGCAAUAGCCUGUAAUGUUUUGGGAGUCUCUUAAACAACUCUAACAAACAAAUCAAAAGAGGGCUUCUCAUGCCUGAUGUUUGGUUUUCGUUAGGUAGGUUUUGGCUCUUGGAAGGAGUAUUGUCAGCUGAAAUGAGAACACUUCAUUUAAACUAUAUAUGUAUAUGUAUAUGUAUAUGUAUUAUAGGUAUUUUUAGAUAUAUAGUUAAUAGUGUGAUUCCUUCUGACUUUUUCAGACAUUCUUACAGUCAUUUUACCCUCUUAUCUUUCUCUUUAUUCAGUAUUUAUUUCCUUCCCCCUCCAUAAUUAGAGCUUGUCCAAUUUUUCAUUUUAAAGCAAUACUAGUUCCAUUCUUGAAGGAUUCUCUCUUAUGACCUAAUCACUUCCUAAAGAGCCUAUAACCAAAUACUGUCAUAUUUAGUGGUUAGGGACACUAAAAGUUCUCUGUUGGGACAAGAAAUAAAUUCUCAAGGGAAGCAUGUCUGCCUAGCAUGCAGGCUCAGGUUUGAUCUUCAGCUUUCUAUAACUGCAGUAAAUAUGACCAGAAGCAACUUUGGGAGGGGAAAGAGUUUAUUUUCCUUUUACAUCCCAAGGCACAGACUAUCACUGAAGGAAGUCCAAGCAGAAACUCAAGAGAGGAACCAAAAAGAAACCAUAGAAGACCACUGUUUACUGGCUUGUGCCUCAUGGAUUGAGUAUAUAACCUUAUAAAAUUCCCAUACAACCCAAGAACACUUUCCUAGGAUUUGAAACCACCCACAGUGGGCCAGCCCCUCCUACAUCAACCAUUAAUAAAGGAAAUACCCCUACACACAUACCAACAGGAUAAUUCACUUUCACUAAUGUUCCUUCUUCCCAAUUCACUCUAACUUGGGUCAAGUUGACG
Molecule: long non-coding RNA, 2780 nt
Filed under: Mus musculus (house mouse)
Lineage: Eukaryota; Metazoa; Chordata; Mammalia; Rodentia; Muridae
Description: long non-coding RNA chr2:145486211-145488991
Source: RNAcentral